AGUCGAACGAACCUUGCGGAGUUAGUGGCGGACGGGUGAGUAACGCGUGAGAAUACUGCCCUCAGGAGGGGGAUAACGGCUGGAAACGGCCGCUAAUACCCCAUAUGCCGAGAGGUGAAAUGAAUUUCGCCUGAGGAUGAGCUCGCGUCUGAUUAGCUAGUUGGUGGGGUAAGAGCCUACCAAGGCUUCGAUCAGUAGCUGGUCUGAGAGGAUGAUCAGCCACACUGGGACUGAGACACGGCCCAGACUCCUACGGGAGGCAGCAGUGGGGAAUUUUCCGCAAUGGGCGAAAGCCUGACGGAGCAACGCCGCGUGAGGGAUGAAGGCCUCUGGGCUGUAAACCUCUUUUCUCAAGGAAGAAGAUCUGACGGUACUUGAGGAAUAAGCCACGGCUAAUUCCGUGCCAGCAGCCGCGGUAAUACGGGAGUGGCAAGCGUUAUCCGGAAUUAUUGGGCGUAAAGCGUCCGCAGGCGGCCUUGAAAGUCUGCUGUUAAAGCGUGGAGCUUAACUCCAUUUCAGCAGUGGAAACUACAAGGCUAGAGUGUGGUAGGGGCAGAGGGAAUUCCCGGUGUAGCGGUGAAAUGCGUAGAUAUCGGGAAGAACACCAGUGGCGAAGGCGCUCUGCUGGGCCAUAACUGACGCUCAUGGACGAAAGCCAGGGGAGCGAAAGGGAUUAGAUACCCCUGUAGUCCUGGCCGUAAACGAUGAACACUAGGUGUCGGGGGAAUCGACCCCCUCGGUGUCGUAGCCAACGCGUUAAGUGUUCCGCCUGGGGAGUACGCACGCAAGUGUGAAACUCAAAGGAAUUGACGGGGGCCCGCACAAGCGGUGGAGUAUGUGGUUUAAUUCGAUGCAACGCGAAGAACCUUACCAGGGUUUGACAUCCUGCGAAUCCCUUGGAAACGAGGGAGUGCCUUCGGGAGCGCAGUGACAGGUGGUGCAUGGCUGUCGUCAGCUCGUGUCGUGAGAUGUUGGGUUAAGUCCCGCAACGAGCGCAACCCACGUCUUUAGUUGCCAGCAUUGAGUUGGGCACUCUAGAGAGACCGCCGGUGAUAAACCGGAGGAAGGUGUGGAUGACGUCAAGUCAUCAUGCCCCUUACAUCCUGGGCUACACACGUACUACAAUGCUACGGACAAAGGGCAGCAAACUCGCGAGAGCUAGCAAAUCCCAUAAACCGUGGCUCAGUUCAGAUCGUAGGCUGCAACUCGCCUACGUGAAGGAGGAAUCGCUAGUAAUCGCAGGUCAGCAUACUGCGGUGAAUACGUUCCCGGGCCUUGUACACACCGCCCGUCACACCAUGGAAGUUGGCCACGCCCGAAGUCGUUAUUCCAACCCGUAAGGGAGGAGGAUGCCGAAGGUGUGGCUGAUGACUGGGG
RNAcentral lists this ribosomal RNA (1377 nucleotides) under Synechococcus sp. KAC102. Its description in RNAcentral is "bacterial SSU rRNA". It matches the Rfam family "Bacterial small subunit ribosomal RNA". RNAcentral also lists the same sequence under 1 other name. The record is from RNAcentral. Lineage: Bacteria; Bacillati; Cyanobacteriota; Cyanophyceae; Synechococcales; Synechococcaceae.